CGAUUGAAUGUUUCGGUGAAGAUUCCGGACUGGAACGUGGGCGCUUCACGGCGCUUGGGGGAAAGGAAGUUAUCUAAACCUCAACAUUUAGAGGAAGGUGAAGUCGUAACAAGGUUUCCGUAGGUGAACCUGCGGAAGGAUCAUUA
RNAcentral lists this ribosomal RNA (146 nucleotides) under Fucus vesiculosus. Its description in RNAcentral is "partial 18S ribosomal RNA". It matches the Rfam family "Eukaryotic small subunit ribosomal RNA", at positions 1686 to 1831 of the family's 1831-position model. The record is from RNAcentral. Lineage: Eukaryota; Phaeophyceae; Fucales; Fucaceae.